This 486-nucleotide ribosomal RNA is filed under the name uncultured bacterium. RNAcentral's name for it is "partial 16S ribosomal RNA". It matches the Rfam family "Bacterial small subunit ribosomal RNA", at positions 30 to 507 of the family's 1533-position model. The record is from RNAcentral.
AUUGAACGCUGGCGGCAUGCCUUACACAUGCAAGUCGAACGGCAGCACGGGUGCUUGCACCUGGUGGUGAGUGGCGAACGGGUGAGUAAUACAUCGGAACACGUCCUGUAGUGGGGGAUAGCCCGGCGAAAGCCGGAUUAAUACCGCAUACGAUCCACGGAUGAAAGCGGGGGACCUUCGGCCCUCGCGCUAUAGGGUUGGCCGAUGGCUGAUUAGCUAGUUGGUGGGGUAAAGGCCUACCAAGGCGACGAUCAGUAGCUGGUCUGAGAGGACGACCAGCCACACUGGGACUGAGACACGGCCCAGACUCCUACGGGAGGCAGCAGUGGGGAAUUUUGGACAAUGGGCGAAAGCCUGAUCCAGCAAUGCCGCGUGUGUGAAGAAGGCCUUCGGGUUGUAAAGCGCUUUUGUCCGGAAAGAAAUCCUUGGCUCUAAUACAGUCGGGGGAUGACGGUACCGGAAGAAUAAGCACCGGCUAACUACGUG